This 3576-nucleotide long non-coding RNA is filed under the name Homo sapiens (human). Its description in RNAcentral is "HSALNT0228029". The record is from RNAcentral. Lineage: Eukaryota; Metazoa; Chordata; Mammalia; Primates; Hominidae.
AAAAAUUAGCCAAGCACAGUGGCAUGUGUCUGUAGUACCAGCUACUUGGGAGGCUGAGUGAAGAGGGAGGAUUGCUUGAGGCCAGGAGUUGGAGACCAGACUGGGCAACAUAGCGAGACCUCAGCUUGGAAGUAAGGAAGGAAAGAAGGGAGGGAAGGAGGGAUGAAGGUAGAAAGAAACGGGACAAGAUGGACUCCUGAGGCCAUCCUAAUUCUGGAACACAAUACAAUGGCCUCUGUAUGUUAGGAGGGCUCAUUUGGCUUCUCUCUAAGCCAGCAGUCCACAUCUUUUUGGCACCAAGGACCAGUUUUGUAGAAGACAAUUUUCCACGGAUGGGGGCGGGGGGUGGGGGUGGGAGGGGAUGGUUUCGGGAUGAAACUGUUCCACCUCAGAUCAUCAGACGUUAGAUUCUCGUAAGAGGUGCCCAACCUACAUCCCUUGCACGUGCAGUCCACAAUAGGGUUUGUGCUUCUAUGGGAAUAUAAUGCCACACUGAUCUGACAGGAGUCAGGGCUCAGGUAGUAAUGCUCACUCACCUGCCGCACACCUCCUGCUGUGCGGCCGGUUCCCAAUAGGCCAUGGAAUGCUUAUUGGUCCACAGCCCUGGAGUUGGGCACCCCUCUUCUAAGGCAGAAGCUUCUACUGUCUUAGGAGCAGCGUCCUGGCCUCCACAGCAGGGAGAGAGCAGGAAUACCCAGCCACAGAUACUGGUCAAGAUAUUGAUCAACUUCCUACCAUCAUGGUGGAGGCAAGCCUGGAGGCCUCUGGGUGGUCAUCAGGUCACCCCAGCACAUUUUCCUGCCCCGGACUCCUGGCCACGCUGAGGUUGCUGUGAGCAGACACGAUGUGCAGGGUCAUGGAUGUGCAGCUCAAACUCCUUGACAAGCGGGAGAUUUAUUUUAUGGCCCAAGCAGUUUGGAGACAAAAUCGUAAGGUGCUCACCCAUCCAGUGUCUCUUCAGCCGGCACUGGGAGGUGUCAAACUGACCACAUUCGACUGCCCCUUCCGCCCGCAGAAUAUGGGUCUGCGUUUCUCUUUCCCUCUUGGUGGCCAAGAACUGUCAACAUCCAGCUGUGGCUCUGCACUCAGCCGCCGCUCAGCCUGCUCAGGUUGAAAGGUCAAACGUUGUCUGGAAUUGGCAGCCCAGCUUACUAGCAGCUCUUCUGUCUUCAGAGUGCAGUGAGGGGAGCUGUCAGAGGGCUGAGGCAAGGACCAGAGAGGGAACUCCUGCGACAGAGAAAGCUCAGCCCUGGUUAUGUUCUGGAGGGAGCAUAGCAGGGUCUGUCCCAGGAACUUUAUUAGUUAGCGGUUAAGAUCCUCAUCCACAGAAAAGCCGGUAGGAAUUAGCCAGGUGGUGUGUGCCUAUGGUCCCAGCUACCCAGGAGGGUGAGGAGGGAGGACUGCUUGAGCCCAGGAGGUUGAGGCUGCGGCUAGCUAUGAUUGUGUCACUGCGCUCCAGCCUGGGUGACAAAGCAAGAUCCUGACUCAAAAAAAAAAAAAAAAAAAAAAGGAAGAAAGAAGAAAGAGAGAGAAGAAAGAAAGGAGAGAAAGAGAAGGAAGGAAGGAGAAAGGAAAGAAGGAAGGAAGAAAAGGAAGAAAGAAUGACAAAGAAAAGAAAGAAAGACGAAAAGGAAAGGAAAAGAAAAGAAAAAAGAAACAAAAGCAGGAAAGUGAGGGGAGAGGGCCAGGAAGACAGAAGACAGGAUGGGCAAGAAGGGUGGGAAGGAUUCCCACACCAGAUUCAGGAGUGGCUCUGCAUUGGGAAAUCCAUCUACGACUGCUGGGGACUUGGUUUUGCAAACAUGCACAGAGAAACCUUCAUCCACCUCUGUGCAAUGUUGGACUGAAGUAGAAAUGAGCCGCUGUUUUCUGGAAGCACCCCAUUUCUUUGAGCUGAUCUUCUCUAAUAAUGAAUUCUGGUGAAGCCUGCCAUUCACAGCACCCUGCCCUCCCAUCUGUAGGAGGUGGGAACAGGACCCAGGCCAGUUGAUCAGAGAGCUCCCUUGCCCUGGGAUGAGCAUGUGACCCAGAUGUCUCAAUCAUGGGGAAGAUCCUCUUGCCUGUUAUAGCCACUAUGCUGGAAGAACAGGAUGUGGGCUUGCUGGCCGCCAUCUUCCAGUCCACGCUGGGAACCCAUCUGCAGGAGGAGGGAAGGAGGACAACCCAGUUUGAGGGAGCAUAUGGACAGCAGCUAUAGAAGGCUCCAUAUGUGCCCAGUGCUAGAUCCACCCCAUCCCUUCCUGUUCCAUAAAUCCAUACAUCUUCUCUCACUUUUGCUUACCCUAGUUUGAGUUACAUUUCUGACACCUGCCACCAUAAAAGCCCAAAUGAUUACAGAGAAUAUUUGGCUACAGGAAAGACCCUGCAGUCUGUGAAAAAAGAGGCUGCUGGUGCAUAGUCAUCGUAGACCAGUGCAAAGAGUGAAACAGAAACAUCCAGCUUAAUCUGCAAAAGCCUUUUUGGAUCCUUGAGAGGCGCUCAUUAACUUACAGCAAAUUGGUGAGCUGAUACUCUUCUUUCAUCCAGGUGAGUGCAUUAACUAGGUUAAUGUUCCUGUCUCAAGGGACUGCUGUAGGUUAGGGUGAAUGAAUGAAAGAAGCAAGUUUUUAAACAGGAAAAAGGCUGCAGGGAAGUUGAGGUGACAAGCAUCGUUUCACCCCCAAUGGAAGGUGAGCUUGUCUGUUAGGUCCCAGGGACUGAAUUGGAGUUCCGUGGUUAGGGAAUGACCCAUCUCAACAAGCAACUUCCAUCAUCCUUCCAUGGGGAUCUGAUUAAGGUCUUCUCCAGAAGGAGAUGGCCUCGUGAGUUGGGGCUUUUUAAUCUCCCUGUCCCUCCUCUAGAAGGGCAUUGCUACUGGCCUUGCCCUGCCAAGUCUUCAGUCUACAACAACACUGCCCGGCUUCAGACACAGCCCAGAUCCUUCCCAGAUCCUUCCCAGACACAGCCCAGAUCCUUCCCAGACAAAAAGUCCUUCCGACUUUUUGCCCUUUCGGCCCAGCCUUCCCUAUCACUUAUGCUGAAAUUGGGAACGUUUCCCAAACCAACAAUUUCCCAGUCCACAAUGUUCCCUUGCUGAGUGUCCCCACAGGAGAGACAGGCAGCCUGAUAAAUAAAACCAGUCAUAAAACCUCCCUGCCUUAGCAAAGGGACUGCUUUGCCAGGCUACCGUCACAUAGCACUCCUGUCUCCCGUUUGACUUCAUAUAGUGAAAAUUGUCUAAAAGAUAAGGCAGGAGCUCUGGUUGACACCCCCCCUGCCCCCGCCUCAUAGAUCUCUCUCUAGAAGCAUUGGAAGAGGCCGUCUCAAAAAAGAAAAAUAAAAUAGAAGCAUUGGAGGAAAGAUGUGGUUUGUAGUGAAACAAAUUGGAAGUCAAGCUCAGCCUCAACCACUUACUUGCUUCUGACCUUGGGAACUUAGGCCAGCUCCCAUCCAGUUCAAUCAGGUUGGGACCACCAGUUCUUCAAUGGGCCUGCCCAAAUGCCCAAGAAGUGGACUUUUGAUGUCAGAGGGCCAAAGAUCCCGCCCUCAGAUCAUGCUAAUGCCACCACUUUCUGUACACAUGUCCUAUGAAAUGCC